UUUGUAUUACGUGCGGAAAUUGUUACCAUUUUUGAGCCGAAAAUGGUAACAAUUUCGCACGUAAUACAAA
RNAcentral lists this microRNA precursor (70 nucleotides) under Paramuricea clavata. Lineage: Eukaryota; Metazoa; Cnidaria; Anthozoa; Malacalcyonacea; Plexauridae. The record is from RNAcentral.